Molecule: ribosomal RNA, 135 nt
Organism: Ochotona princeps (American pika)
Lineage: Eukaryota; Metazoa; Chordata; Mammalia; Lagomorpha; Ochotonidae
Source: Ensembl
GUCUACAGCCACCACCUUGAACGCACCUGAUCUCAUCUGAUCUCGGAAGCUAAGCAGGGUUAGGCCUGGUUAGUACUUGGAUGGGGAGACAAUUUAAAAAGCAAAAAGAGAAACCCUGCCAGGGCGUUCCUGACC